UUGUCUUGUUUGAACCUGCUCAGCCAUUUUAGAAACAACCUUCCAGGCUUCUUUCUUCGAGUUUGCAGCUCAGAACGAAAACAAGAGACUCUUCUCUUGGUGGGAACCAACAGCCCUGAUCCAGUGCCAGCUGGAAGCCAAAGAACCCGGUGAACAGUGAACAGAGAUCCCAGUGAGCAGCUGGAGUCUCCCUCCUGUCUGGACCCCUGUGACUGUGACAGCUUGAUCCAAACCCCUUGGAGACCACAGGCAGUUUUACAAACUAAAUUAAUCCGCAGUUUUUCAUCAGGUGUGCCAGCAGAUGCAGAGCAGCUCACAAGGGAAGUCAACUCAGUUCUUGCUGGUAUUAUCUGAGUUACCAAGGUACUGGUUUCCUCCUCCCUGGCACUGGGGUUUGGGGGUAACUCAUCCAUCUCUUUCUAAUCCAUGUAUUUCCAUUUUCCAACUGCAGGGACAAAAGCAAGGAUUGCCCAAUUCAAGGGACAGAAACAACUCAAGAACGAGCUUGUAAACACUUUUGGAGAAGGCCUUGUUGCCACUUUAAGAAAACCCUUGUAGGGACAUUAUUUGCCUCUGGCUCAGGAAGAGGGAACACCUGCCAGGGAAUCUGCUCCUGCAGAAAUUCCAGUGACACUGUGUGAGGCAGCAAGGGAGGGGGGGGAUUUAAGAGGUGUAACAAAAGAGAACAACAGAACAAUAGGAGCAGUAUAUCACUGACUUCAGCCCCAGUUAUUUCUCUCUUAUAGAAAAAAAAUCAUAUGUCCUGUUGCAGCACUGACUCCAAACUAAGCCCAGCACGGCUCUGGGGCUGUUCAUGGAGACAGGCUGGAAGAACAACCUAUUUCUGUUAUCUCCCCACACCCCCAGCACACAAUGCAUCCUCCAGGCCAA
This is a long non-coding RNA of Corapipo altera (White-ruffed manakin), 891 nucleotides long. RefSeq lists it as uncharacterized. The record is from RefSeq and is a predicted model, not a curated record. The transcript has 2 exons. NCBI's taxonomy places the organism in Eukaryota, Metazoa, Chordata, Aves, Passeriformes, Pipridae.